GAUGAACGCUAGCUACAGGCUUAACACAUGCAAGUCGAGGGGCAUCAGGAAGAAAGCUUGCUUUCUUUGCUGGCGACCGGCGCACGGGUGAGUAACACGUAUCCAACCUGCCCUUUACUCGGGGAUAGCCUUUCGAAAGAAAGAUUAAUACCCGAUGGCAUAAUGAUUCCGCGUGGUUUCAUUAUUAAAGGAUUCCGGUAAAGGAUGGGGAUGCGUUCCAUUAGGUUGUUGGUGAGGUAACGGCUCACCAAGCCUUUGAUGGAUAGGGGUUCUGAGAGGAAGGUCCCCCACAUUGGAACUGAGACACGGUCCAAACUCCUACGGGAGGCAGCAGUGAGGAAUAUUGGUCAAUGGGCGCUAGCCUGAACCAGCCAAGUAGCGUGAAGGAUGAAGGCUCUAUGGGUCGUAAACUUCUUUUAUAUAAGAAUAAAGUGCAGUAUGUAUACUGUUUUGUAUGUAUUAUAUGAAUAAGGAUCGGCUAACUCCGUGCCAGCAGCCGCGGUAAUACGGAGGAUCCGAGCGUUAUCCGGAUUUAUUGGGUUUAAAGGGAGCGUAGGUGGACUGGUAAGUCAGUUGUGAAAGUUUGCGGCUCAACCGUAAAAUUGCAGUUGAUACUGUCAGUCUUGAGUACAGUAGAGGUGGGCGGAAUUCGUGGUGUAGCGGUGAAAUGCUUAGAUAUCACGAAGAACUCCGAUUGCGAAGGCAGCUCACUGGACUGCAACUGACACUGAUGCUCGAAAGUGUGGGUAUCAAACAGGAUUAGAUACCCUGGUAGUCCACACAGUAAACGAUGAAUACUCGCUGUUUGCGAUAUACAGUAAGCGGCCAAGCGAAAGCAUUAAGUAUUCCACCUGGGGAGUACGCCGGCAACGGUGAAACUCAAAGGAAUUGACGGGGGCCCGCACAAGCGGAGGAACAUGUGGUUUAAUUCGAUGAUACGCGAGGAACCUUACCCGGGCUUAAAUUGCAGUGGAAUGAUGUGGAAACAUGUCAGUGAGCAAUCACCGCUGUGAAGGUGCUGCAUGGUUGUCGUCAGCUCGUGCCGUGAGGUGUCGGCUUAAGUGCCAUAACGAGCGCAACCCUUAUCUUUAGUUACUAACAGGUUAUGCUGAGGACUCUAGAGAGACUGCCGUCGUAAGAUGUGAGGAAGGUGGGGAUGACGUCAAAUCAGCACGGCCCUUACGUCCGGGGCUACACACGUGUUACAAUGGGGGGUACAGAAGGCAGCUAGCGGGUGACCGUAUGCUAAUCCCAAAAGCCUCUCUCAGUUCGGAUCGAAGUCUGCAACCCGACUUCGUGAAGCUGGAUUCGCUAGUAAUCGCGCAUCAGCCACGGCGCGGUGAAUACGUUCCCGGGCCUUGUACACACCGCCCGUCAAGCCAUGGGAGCCGGGGGUACCUGAAGUACGUAACCGCAAGGAUCGUCCUAGGGUAAAACUGGAGA
Molecule: ribosomal RNA, 1443 nt
Filed under: uncultured organism
Description: SSU rRNA
Rfam family: Bacterial small subunit ribosomal RNA
Source: RNAcentral